AUUUAUACAAAGUUAACACUUUUUGACCCAAGAAAUUUGUUAAAGUGUCCCUACCGAUUGUUGUUAGGAAAAAACACGUAAUUUUCUCAUUUACGAUACAUUUUUCUAAAAACCGUAGAGUGGCGCCACUGCAGUAUUUGUUUGGUCGACAUACCACGUUGGUUGUAGUGAAUGCACCUUGCAGUAAGGCGGUAUUUGAGUUAUAUUUUAGAAGUGCCUAGACAAAAUCUGCUCCUUGUCGUGUGCAGUAACCAUCGCAAACCCUCCGGACUUGUGUAACGCCGUUAGUUCGCCGUGUGUUUCGUGCGAUCUACCAGUGUCGACAGUGAGUGUCUUACUACAGCGCCCGUCCGAGCUGCCUUUGUUCUGCCGAGCUGCCUGCCCGCGCUCUCGUGAAAAGUCUGGUACUGGAGCUUCGAAUCGUAGUGUAUGGAAGACUGUUGAAGGUUGUGCUUUUGUGGAGCUGGAGUUCAUCGGAAGUUCUACAGUGCUUGCGCCAGAAAAACGUCGGUGCCUCGGUACCUUUGAGACGAAGGAGCGUUGGCCAAGUCUUUUUGAAAGGCUAUGCGGAUUCUGGAGGCAUCCCUACAUCAAGCAGGAACCUGCUGCACUGCUGGAAGCUGGACAGCACGACAAUAAAGCACGUGAUCUGUGUGCUUUCUCAAAGGUAGACAUCGGCGACGGUGUAUAUGUUGAAAAGUGCCUGCUGAAGAGGCUGCGCCUGGAUGCUAACAACUCAGGCUUUCAGUUCGCGGGGGGCCUCCUUAAGGCUCCUUUUACAAAAGAAGAGGUUGAAGGGAGGCGCUACACAUGGAUGCGCAGCGAUUGUUUGUGACAUCGUCACUGCUGGCAGGCCUGGCCUGCCUUUUCGCUUCGUUCUGGGUCUUCCACGUUAUCUACUCGAAAACGCCCACAGGGUUUUGACAUUUAUUGAGCACUGCUUUCUGGAUUUGAGCUACACAAAGCUGCAGGUGAAAGCAUUGGAUUUAGUCAAUAUUUACUAGAACUAUUCCUAGGCAAAAAAAUUUACAGAUGCAUAUCCUCAAGAAAGUUUCUGUAAAAAUUAUUUUGCCUAACAAAAGCACUCGUGGGUUCUGUGGCUGGCAGCUUGCCCAAGCCAUGUAGCACAGUGCUUGCUUUAAAGGGACACGAAAGGGAAAAUUUAUUUGAGCGUUAUUAAAUCAUUUUUCUACAACACCGAAAAAACAACUCCCUCUAAGAGAAUUGGCUUGAUAAGCCAGAUAACUUGCAAAAACGAAAACUGGUGUCGCCACCACCACCUUAUAAUUCCUGCACCAGCUCGCUGUGAUAUGGAAUUUGACGGUGUCUGUUCGGGUCUAGCUAAUGUUCUACUGGCCAAUAUUGAUGAAUUCUGUUGUAAAGGUGUCAAAGAAUAUACCUAGUUGAAGUAUGACUCCACACUGAUGUGCGGGCACUGCAUAAAACUUGAAAGUUAAAUCUUCAUUUUCUCAUCUAUUAAUCCGCUUAUUGCCACAAUGUUCAUGAAUACAGUUCUGAAAGAUUGUUUUAUCAGUCUAAAAUCAUUUAUUGUUUCUCUUUAGUAUCUCUGUAAUGGACCUUUAGCAACAAAAUGUGUGUUAGUUUGCGACAGGUAUUCUCAGCGGGGGCAAGAGCACCAGCAGCAUGCUCAGUGAUUCUGUACCAACUGAUAAUUUGAAGGAUGUCCUGUGCCACUAGGGUUAGGCCAACAUGGCUCUGUGUUAAUCACCACAAGUGUAUUAUGCAAAACUUAAUGGCCCAGAAAUUGGUAAUUCAGGGGGGAGUUGAAUUAGCUGUUUAUUUUUUUUUCUUUAUCAUGGACUUCUCACAUUACACUUUGUCACAACGCAUUCACUUUAAAGUAACUGGAGAAUAAGGUGGUUUGGUAUUCAGACAUGCCUUCUGUGUGUAAACAGUGUUAGAUGAGCAAUACAAAGAUACACCAUAGAUGCUGACUGGCAACAUGAAGGGGUUUGAGGGCAGCUACGAAUAUACAUCCUUGUAGUCGUACCUAUAGCACUAUGUUCAAUUUGUCACACAAGCAUAUGGCAUCCAUCACAACUGCAUGCCUAGAAAAAGACAAGGGCAACACACUCAAUUACCUUUUAUUCUAUCUAAGAAGCACUACAAUAUUUAGGCAACGAAAUUGACAUCUGGCUUGUACCCAUAAGUACUGCAAUACAGUUGCAUAACAUGUUACUCUUGUGUGGAAAAAGGGCUGCAUACGUUUUCUUUGAGCACAAGGGGGAGUGGUAUCAGUUAAAGCCCCUCCAUCCACGCGCCACUGCCGCUUUCUUAAGUAGCGACAACCUUUGUUGUACGCCGCCUUUUCCCCUGACAUCAAAUCCGGUUCCAGCAUUUCCAGUUUCAAAGUUUCCGGUUCCGGCGUUACCGCUUCCUGGAGUUGUGCUGCGGGAAUUUCCGCUUUGACUGCCGAUGGUGAGAUGCCCACGCGUGCUUAGCAGAGCUGUGGUAGUCACCAUGAGAAGAAUGCAAAGGCGACAAGCUGUUGUAUUCCGCUGAAGUAGUAAUUCUCGGUCGCUGUUUUCUAAAUGCACGAAAAAUGGCAGUGGUCUCCAAGCGCCCAGGCACUACAUUCCACUGUACGUUGUCUCGUGGCACAACCCGUCGCAGGUUGACGCGAAACAGCGAACACGAUCAGAUCGCUGGUUACAAUAGGCGGUGGUACUUGGAUGGAAUCGCAUUCACAGUUUAAACCGCAGCUGGUGCAAUUAAAGCCUCUCCAUCGACGCGAAAGUAAACAACGUUAAGAAAAACAUAGCGUUACUUCCACUCGGAACAGGAAGCUGCAGCUACGGAAGUUCCGCUUGACGCCGGAAGCUAAGGGGGCGAGUGGCAGAGGAACGUGGAGGAAGAGGGUAGGUUGGCGGUACUUAACCUGGUCGGCGGAAACGUGUAUGGAGGGGCUUUAGUAUCAGUUAAUGGCUGUUUUCACAUAUAUGUUUUGUCGUGUGUAUUAGCAAUCACCACUUUCCUUAUCUGAGUGAGGUCAUUUUUUAGAAAGUUUGAAAGUUUAUAGAACAUGUUGCUCAUGGUUGUUGCAGUUUUCUUCCUAACUAUCCAUUCAUUGCACUGUGCACCCAUGUCUUGGGCAACUAGCUGUUUGAAGGUCAGCAUGCUAUCGAUGGGUCUAAUGAUAAUCUCUAGUGCCCUCUCAUUUGCUUGUUGCAAUACUUAAGAGUUAGAUUUUGUAUACUGUGUCACUGGUUUAUUUUCACUGUACUUUAGUUUCACUACAUCUUGAAUGUGUUGUGAUAGUUUUUCUUUUGCAAUGAAAGAUAUGGUGGGCAGUUGCCGACACUAAUGUUUCGCUGGGCAGUAAUGGUCAUUAGCAGCAGAUGCUAGCUGCCCUUAAGUGCAAUGUUUUUAUGUUGCAUAGUAUUGUUCAUGAUCCAUUGAAUGCACUGCACGCACAUGUUGUGGACAACUGCCUGUUUGAAGAAAUUAUCUGCAUAUUCAGUGGGUCUAAUGUGAACAUCUCUACUACUGACUUAGCUUCACUACAUCUUGAAUGUGUUGUGAUAGUUUUUAUUUUGCCGUGACAGAUGUGGUGGGCAGUUGCCGGCACUAAUGUGAUAGUACGAAUGCUUGCUGUAUUUACCACAUGGUUGUUUCAUUUUGUCUGGCGCAGUAAUAGCCGUUAGCAGCAGAUGCCAUUUGGCCUUAAGUGCAAUAUUUUUAUGUUGCAUAGUUAUGUUCAUACUAAUCCAUUGGAUGCACAGCACACCCAUGUUCUGGACAACUGCCUGUUUGAAGGAAUGACCUGCAUAUUCAGUGGGUUUAAUGUGAACGUCUCUAGUACUGACUGUAUAUUUAUCAGUUAGGUUUUAUAUUGUAUGUUGCUUGUUUUCACUGUAGGCUGCUGAGCACGAGGUCGCGGGAUCGAAUCCCGGCCAUGGCGGCCGCAUUUCGAUGGAGGCGAAAUACGAAAACACCCGUGUACUUAGAUUUAGGUGCACGUUAAAGAUCCCCAGGUGGUCGAAAUUUCCGGAGUCCUCCACUACGGCGUGCCUCAUAAUCAGAAAGUGGUUUUGGCACGUAAAACCCUAUAAUUUAAUUUUUUUUUUCACUGUACUUUAGUGGGAUUGCACAUUGAAUGUGUUGUGAUGUAUUUUAUUUUGCUAUGAGAGAUCUAAUGGGCAGUUACCAGCCCCCGGUCUUUGUAUUAGUACAAAUAUUUAUUAUGCUUAUCACAGCAUUUUGUAAGGCUAUAGUUUUGUGAUGAUUAACUCAUGCCUGACUUUUUUAUGAGAAACAUGUCACAACUAAUAAACAAUCACUCAUGCUUGGGAUCCAUGAAA
Long non-coding RNA from Dermacentor andersoni, 4322 nucleotides. RefSeq lists it as uncharacterized. NCBI's taxonomy places the organism in Eukaryota, Metazoa, Arthropoda, Arachnida, Ixodida, Ixodidae. The record is from RefSeq and is a predicted model, not a curated record.